Molecule: ribosomal RNA, 301 nt
Filed under: uncultured bacterium
Lineage: Bacteria
Description: partial 16S ribosomal RNA
Rfam family: Bacterial small subunit ribosomal RNA
Source: RNAcentral
CAGCCGCCGCGGUAAUACGAAGGGUGCAAGCGUUACUCGGAAUUACUGGGCGUAAAGCGUGCGUAGGUGGUGGUUUAAGUCCGUUGUGAAAGCCCUGGGCUCAACCUAGGAAUUGCAGUGGAUACUGGGUCACUAGAGUGUGGUAGAGGAUAGUGGAAUUUCCGGUGUAGCAGUGAAAUGCGUAGAGAUCGGAAGGAACAUCUGUGGCGAAGGCGACUAUCUGGGCCAACACUGACACUGAGGCACGAAAGCGUGGGGAGCAAACAGGAUUAGAUACCCCCGUAGUCCCUGUCUCUUAUAC